This 499-nucleotide ribosomal RNA is filed under the name uncultured Glomeromycotina. RNAcentral describes it as "partial small subunit ribosomal RNA". It matches the Rfam family "Eukaryotic small subunit ribosomal RNA", at positions 591 to 1092 of the family's 1831-position model. The record is from RNAcentral. Lineage: Eukaryota; Fungi; Glomeromycota.
CCAAUAGCGUAUAUUAAAGUUGCUGCAGUUAAAAAGCUCGUAGUUGAAUUUCGGGACUAAUAUGUCGGUCGUGCCUCGGUACGUACUGGUAUUUCUGGUUUCUCCCUUCUGACGAACCUUGAUGUCAUUAAUUUGGUGUCUUGGGGAAUCAGGACUGUUACUUUGAAAAAAUUAGAGUGUUUAAAGCAGGCUCACGCUUGAAUACAUUAGCAUGGAAUAAUGAAAUAGGACGUUUGAUUCUAUUUUGUUGGUUUCUAGGAUCGACGUAAUGAUUAAUAGGGAUAGUUGGGGGCAUUAGUAUUCAAUUGUCAGAGGUGAAAUUCUUGGAUUUAUUGAAGACUAACUACUGCGAAAGCAUUUGCCAAGGAUGUUUUCAUUAAUCAAGAACGAAAGUUAGGGGAUCGAAGACGAUCAGAUACCGUCGUAGUCUUAACCAUAAACUAUGCCGACUAGGGAUCGGAUGAUGUUAAUUUUUUAAUGACUCAUUCGGCGCCUUACG